This 317-nucleotide ribosomal RNA is filed under the name uncultured bacterium. RNAcentral's name for it is "bacterial SSU rRNA". It matches the Rfam family "Bacterial small subunit ribosomal RNA", at positions 28 to 334 of the family's 1533-position model. The record is from RNAcentral.
GAUGAACGCUAGCUACAGGCUUAACACAUGCAAGUCGCGGGGCAGCAUGACAUCAGCUUGCUGAUGUUGAUGGCGACCGGCGCACGGGUGAGUAACGCGUAUCCAACCUGCCCUUUACUAUGGGACAGCCCGUCGAAAGGCGGAUUAAUACCGUAUGUUGUCAUGUUGAUGCAUAUUUUCAUGACCAAAGGCUUCGGCCGGUAAAGGAUGGUGAUGCGUCUGAUUAGCUUGCCGGCGGGGUAACGGCCCACCGGGGCGACGAUCAGUAGGGGUUCUGAGAGGAAGGUCCCCCACAUUGGAACUGAGACACGGUCCAA